CCGCAAUAUAAGUACUGACACAGGGUCAGUCCACUGGAUCCUAGGUCACUCUACUGGAUCCCCCCAGGUUAGGAGUACUAUUCCUUGGUUCCUGACUUAUUGUUAGUACAAUACAUAUCCCCAAUAUAUGUACUAACACAGGGUCAGUCUACUGGAUCCUAGGUCACUCUACUGGAUCCUCCCAGGUUAGGAGUACUAUUCCUUAGUUCCUGACUUAUUGUAAGUACAAUACAUAGUCCCCAAUAUAAAUACUAACACAGGGCAGUCUACUGGAUCCUGGGUCACUCUACUGGAUCCUCCCAGGUUAGGAGUACUAUUCCUUGGUUCCUGACUUAAUGUAAGUACAAUACAUAAUCCCCAAUAUAAGUACUAACACAGGGCAGUCUAUUGGAUCCUAGGUCACUCUACUGGAUCCUCCCAGGUUAGGAGUACUAUUCCUUAGUUCCUGACUUAUUGUCCCCAAUUCAAGUACUAACACAGGGGCGGAAUAAUAGAUCCUAUGUCACUCUCCUAUAUCAUCAUUUUCAUUCAUUUGACUUCAUUAGGCAAUCUUUGCAUGUAAA
This is a long non-coding RNA of Saccostrea cuccullata (small rock oyster), 563 nucleotides long. RefSeq lists it as uncharacterized. Lineage: Eukaryota; Metazoa; Mollusca; Bivalvia; Ostreida; Ostreidae. The record is from RefSeq and is a predicted model, not a curated record. The transcript has 2 exons.